This 449-nucleotide ribosomal RNA is filed under the name Campylobacter gracilis. RNAcentral's name for it is "bacterial SSU rRNA". It matches the Rfam family "Bacterial small subunit ribosomal RNA", at positions 29 to 493 of the family's 1533-position model. The record is from RNAcentral. Lineage: Bacteria; Pseudomonadati; Campylobacterota; Epsilonproteobacteria; Campylobacterales; Campylobacteraceae.
AGUGAACGCUGGCGGCGUGCCUAAUACAUGCAAGUCGAACGGAAUUUAAAAGAGCUUGCUCUUUUAAAUUUAGUGGCGCACGGGUGAGUAAUAUAUAGCUAUCUGCCCCUUGCUGGAGGACAACAGUUAGAAAUGACUGCUAAUACUCCAUACUCCUUUUUACCAUAAGAUAAAUCGGGAAAGAAUUUCGGCAAGGGAUGAGACUAUAUCGUAUCAGCUAGUCGGUGGGGUAACGGCCUACCGAGGCUAUGACGCGUAACUGGUCUGAGAGGAUGAUCAGUCACAUUGGAACUGAGACACGGUCCAAACUCCUACGGGAGGCAGCAGUAGGGAAUAUUGCGCAAUGGGGGAAACCCUGACGCAGCAACGCCGCGUGGAGGAUGACACUUUUCGGAGCGUAAACUCCUUUUGUUAGGGAAGAAUAAUGACGGUACCUAACGAAUAAGCAC